RNAcentral lists this ribosomal RNA (253 nucleotides) under uncultured bacterium. Its description in RNAcentral is "partial 16S ribosomal RNA". It matches the Rfam family "Bacterial small subunit ribosomal RNA", at positions 524 to 776 of the family's 1533-position model. The record is from RNAcentral.
UACGUAGGGGGCAAGCGUUGUCCGGAAUCAUUGGGCGUAAAGAGCGCGUAGGCGGCCAGAUAAGUCCGGUGUGAAAGUCAAAGGCUCAACCUUUGAAUGCCGCUGGAAACUGUCUGGCUAGAGUCCGGGAGGGGCGAGUGGAAUUCCUGGUGUAGCGGUGAAAUGCGCAGAUAUCAGGAGGAACACCAAUGGCGAAGGCAGCUCGCUGGAACGGUACUGACGCUGAGGCGCGAAAGCGUGGGGAGCGAACAGG